Molecule: long non-coding RNA, 3748 nt
Organism: Dromaius novaehollandiae (emu)
Lineage: Eukaryota; Metazoa; Chordata; Aves; Casuariiformes; Dromaiidae
Exons: 5
Source: RefSeq, a predicted model, not a curated record
AGAGGAUAUAUACACAUUGCAGACUAACACAUCUGUGGAAGCCAUGCUCAGGAAUGAUAAGAACACAUAAAACACUCGAGUCUUCAUAUACCAUAAGUUAUGACUUCUGAUUAUUUAAAAUCAUGAGAAGAUAACUGGAUAAAGGUUCAGAGUGACUUUACAAUAAGAUUGCAGAUCAUCUGAUAAGAGAACUGUGAGAGAUUUACAGCCACCUUGCUAAAAUUUUUCUGCCCAUUCAGUUAAGAUUUUUUUUAGUUGUCAAGCAAACCUACAUUCCUCCUCCUUUUUAUUGUUGCCAUUAUGAUAAAGACAGCCGGAGACAAACUGAAGUGGCCAUCUGGUUGAUGUGCCUACAAAAGGAGUGGUUUGCCAGACAAAGAAAGUACCUUUUAUUAGACAAAGCAAUGCAUCUUCUCUUACCAGAUUUCCCAUUCUUUUGACUCUGAUGGAGCUGCAGGUCCAUGACGUGGAGUCCCUGUUUGGAAUAUGACAAAAGAACAUUCAAGGACAAAAGCACUUCUGGCCCUAAAUUUCCCUUCACUUCAUUCAAUUAUCUAUACACCUAUCCUUUUUCCCUUCUCAUAAUAUAUGACACCAAAUUUCUAUGCACUAAGUGAAAUUUCACUCUAUCAGGCAAAGACACGUAGCUUUCUGAGCCAUGCAGUGGCAUAUUUCCAUUGGCCUGACAUUCUCUCAUUUUGAUCUAGUGGAUAUUUUUACUGAAGUCUGCCGCUCAUUAUGUGACAUGCAUUAUGUCAUACACUAAACAAAAACUGAAACUAUUCAUUAUACCAAAAAUAAUCUCUGAAAGCGAUUUCACAUUCGUCUUCCCACAUCUGAACCAGUCCAGGCCUUUCCUCUGCCAAGAGACAGAGUCUUUGUCCCAGCCCUGUACAAAUCACAGUAGGAGAAAAUAAAUUCCAGAACAAGGGUUCUCUAAAGUGCAGCUGCAGACUGAGGCUUGUCAACAAAAAUACCCAACCUGACUUAGCUUUCAUUACAAAAGGAGCAAAGCAGACUUCGCUGCUAUGCCCUUGGGUGUUACAGAUCAGAGUGAGAAACAAAUAGCAAAUAAGGAGGAGACAGUCCCAAGAAAGGAAACUACUAAAGUUUAGGUACCACUUACAGAGACCCCCGUUCAGUGUUAUUGGUGGCAAGUCUGUUAAUUUUUCAGAAUACCUUGGUUUCAAAACCUUACUGUCAAAUGCAUUAGUAUCUAUCUCACUACACAGACUGGUUGCAAUAAUAACAAUGUCAAAUAUUCAGGCGUUUUGACAACAAGGUUCAUACAAGAUCCUCAAGCUUAUAGUAUUAUUGGGUUUAUGUGAGUAUUUUACACUGCUUUAUAUUAACACUGUCUCGGAAACUGCACCAGUGAAAAUGUCCAUGCAUUGCUCAGAGACAUUUCCCCAAGGAUGAGCUGGACAGCAGAACAACACAGACAACUGUGAAAGGCUCAGAUCUGGGAGAAAUUGCUCAUAGACCUGGUCUGCUGCAGAUAAAGACGCUCUUGGCCCCUGUUACAUUACAGUAAAAUUCAGUGCAGGAUCGUGAAGUAUCCAAUCUUUAAUUCAAACUCAAAAAUCAAUAGAGAGAGCAGAAACCAUCAGGAGUUUAGCUCUAAAACUCCUUUCUCUUUCUCCUAGCUGUGCCUCUAUGUUACUCGGAUCAAACUUUUGCCAUUUCUUUUUUAUCCAAAUCCCAGAGUCACAAAAUACCAUUCUGCCUGGUGAAAAUGAUGAGCUUAGACUAGGCCAUUUCUGUCCCACACUUUUGGUGUCCUUGUGUACUGGUGAAACAGAGAAUAGCUCUUCUCUCAUGCAUAUCAAAGUCACAUUUGUAGAGAGGGAAAGGGAUAGCUAAUACAAAGGCAGCAUAUUUAUUUAUUUAUUUUACAGACAUAAAAUGUGUAACCCGCUAAAAUCAGCUGAAUGUGUAAAAUCAGUCAGAUGGAACAGGAAGAUGGAGUUUAAAAUGUAACCCAUUCUCCCCAUCCCACCAAAAAAUAAAAAAAUUAAUUGCCUUCAAUAUUGUUCUGUUGUACAGGGAUAUAAGUGCCAAGGGCCUAUUCAGAACCAGUGAAGUCAAUAAAAAGACUCACUGCCAUUAACAGACUUUGAACCAGGCCAAAAGGUUCUCUAGGAUAUCUCAGGAGUAACGAGGAUAAAAAUGAGUAGCUGGAAAGGCUAAGGGCGACAGGGACUUUUUAAAAUGUGGCGGUAGAAAACCAAACAUGCAAGUAAGCAAACAGAGAAAGACAGUGACCAUCUGCCACCCGGAGUGAGGACGCAGCCGUCAAUGCACUUCUGUUCCCAACGCAGACCCACAGUGGUCUCCUGGAAGAUCUCAGGGCAAGACCUGCGGGCCGGAGGAAAGCCACUCUUCUCUUGCUCCAUCACCUUCAGAAGUGCCUCUUUCCUGAAGCCUGGGUGUCAGGGAGAUACGAUUCAGACAGAGACCAACACCUUCAGAAAUGCUAAGGAAACUUGUUAAGGCUACCAGCCCAGAAAUGGAAAAAAGACUGAAAGUGAAAAAAAUGCUCUAAGAAAGAGGACUUUGGGGCUUUUGUUAAGCAGUGGGUGAUAGAUUAAGAUAACAUCAGUGAUGCUGAUUUUUAUCUUGCUCUGUUUCCUUACAUGUAAAAACAGGAUUCAUAUCAAUAUUGUCUAUGAUUUCUCUUUUAUAAUUGUUGGUUGAAAUACUACAGUUAAGACAUAACUUCUACAACGGAAAAAACUCAGUUUCAUUGUGCUGAGAUUCCUACCCACUUUUCCCUGUAUUCGAAAUGUAUGGAAGAGAAGUGCAUGUUUUCAUAUAAAAAUACUAGAUUUCUCCACAGGUAGAAACAGGUUUAAAUGCUGGCUUUGGCAGCUCUCGUAGAUGACAGUGAAUCUGUUUCCUUCUACUUACUAGCUUACAGCUUACUACAUCAAAUAGUAUCUUUUAAUUUUGUCACAAAGCCAGCUUUUAAAAUUUCACAGCAUUCCUCCCCACACUUUAUAUUUCAGAUUCUGGAUGCUGUGGAAUGAAAAGGAAAAAAAUGAACUACUCCCCACAAACUAAACCAAGUUUUCAAAUAUAAAAUUAAAUAAGGAAAAACAUACACAUUUGUUUACUGUAUACUAAUAUCACAGACAUAUAACAGGAUAUUUUAUUAGUCAUUUUGUAGUUUUGCGUAGGCUAUUAGCUAAUGUUGGUGUUUUAUAUACAUUUUGUGAAUUUGCAUUUCCACUAGAAACUAUAAGAUCUCUAAGUGGUACUUACAAGUGCAAUAUUACAAAAAUCCUUGUGAUAACUAGCAAUUUUUUCUGCCUCUUUUGUGUUGGUGUGUCCAUCCCUAGUAUCCCUUCCCAAAUUAGGCUAGCAUGUGGCUAUCAUGUAUCCCCUCUGUGGAUAGAAUUAUAUAUUGUGUUCAAAACCUCUGAUUAAUCUGAUUAAGCUAGUGAGUGACUAAUCCUUUAAUCUCCUCAAGAGCACUGUUACGUCUGCUGUGUGUCAGAUUUGUAACUAGUAAUCAGUUAAGUAAAUGCUAAAAGUUAAGGAAAAACUGUUUCGGACCUUUUUUAGAGUCUGUUUUUGGUGAGUGACUUUUGCAGCUAAAACUACACGGAGAACACGAUUGAAAAUAAGAAACUGUCUGUGGUGGCAGUUCUGCCACUGUGAGCAUAUCAGUCAUGAAGGACCAACUUUCUAUUGCUACCUCCUUCUUAAGAGAUUUAUUAUAAAUAAACAUGUAGUUUCCCCUUUA